Molecule: ribosomal RNA, 406 nt
Filed under: uncultured bacterium
Lineage: Bacteria
Description: partial 16S ribosomal RNA
Rfam family: Bacterial small subunit ribosomal RNA
Source: RNAcentral
AUUGAACGCUGGCGGCAGGCCUAACACAUGCAAGUCGAACGAGAGGCGGACGGGUGGGUAGUGUCUGGGAAACUGCCUGAUGAAAGGGGAUAACUACUUGAAACGGUAGCUAAUGCCGCAAACGAUCAGAUGUGCCCAGAUGGGAUGAGCUAGUAGGUGGUGUAACGGCUCACCUAGGCGACGAGGCAUAGCUGGUAUGCGAGGAUGACCAGCAACACUGGAACUGAGACAAGGUCCAGACUCCUACGGGAGGCAGCAGUGGGAAAUAUUGCAAAAGGGGCGGAAGCCUGAUGCAGCGAUGCCGCGUGAAUGAAGAAGGUCUUCGGGUUGUAAAGGACUUUCAGCGGGGAGGCGUUACCUGCAGAAGAAGCACCGGCGAACUCCGCGCCAGCAGCCGCGGUAAUAC